UGAAAACUACGGGAUGAGUUCUAAACGA
RNAcentral lists this non-coding RNA (28 nucleotides) under Bombyx mori (domestic silkworm). Lineage: Eukaryota; Metazoa; Arthropoda; Insecta; Lepidoptera; Bombycidae. The record is from RNAcentral.